Molecule: transfer RNA, 74 nt
Filed under: Sedimentisphaera cyanobacteriorum
Lineage: Bacteria; Pseudomonadati; Planctomycetota; Phycisphaerae; Sedimentisphaerales; Sedimentisphaeraceae
Also listed under: 1 other name
Description: tRNA-Val
Rfam family: tRNA
About the family: Transfer RNA (tRNA) molecules are approximately 80 nucleotides in length. Their secondary structure includes four short double-helical elements and three loops (D, anti-codon, and T loops).
Source: RNAcentral
GGGCUGUUAGCUCAGUUGGCUAGAGCACCUGCCUUACAAGCAGGGGGUCGCAGGUUCAAGUCCUGCACGGCCCA